Molecule: ribosomal RNA, 246 nt
Filed under: uncultured Eubacteriales bacterium
Lineage: Bacteria; Bacillati; Bacillota; Clostridia; Eubacteriales
Description: uncultured Clostridiales bacterium partial 16S ribosomal RNA
Rfam family: Bacterial small subunit ribosomal RNA
Source: RNAcentral
CACGCCGUAAACGAUGGAUACUAGGUAUAGGGGGUUAAGAUACCCUCUGUGCCGCAGCUAACGUAUUAAGUAUCCCACCUGGGGAGUACGGCCGCAAGGCUGAAACUCAAAGGAAUUGACGGGGACCCGCACAAGCAGUGGAGCAUGUGGUUUAAUUCGACGCAACGCGAAGAACCUUACCAAGGCUUGACAUAAUACUGCACAUGUUGGAAACAGCAUGGUCCUUCGGGACGGUAUUACAGGUGG